This 457-nucleotide ribosomal RNA is filed under the name uncultured bacterium. RNAcentral describes it as "bacterial SSU rRNA". It matches the Rfam family "Bacterial small subunit ribosomal RNA", at positions 337 to 794 of the family's 1533-position model. The record is from RNAcentral.
UCCUACGGGAGGCAGCAGUGGGGAAUCUUGCGCAAUGGCCGAAAGGCUGACGCAGCGACGCCGCGUGUGGGAGGACGCCUUUCGGGGUGUAAACCACUGUUGCCCGGGACGAACACGGCUAUUCGUAGCCGCUGACGGUACCGGGUGAGGAAGCACCGGCUAACUCCGUGCCAGCAGCCGCGGUAAUACGGAGGGUGCGAGCGUUGUCCGGAAUCAUUGGGCGUAAAGGGCGCGUAGGUGGCCCGGUCAGCGUGCGGUGAAAGCUCGGGGCUCAACCCCGAGUCGGCCGUGCGAACUGCUGGGCUCGAGCACUGUAGAGGCAGGCGGAAUUCCGGGUGUAGCGGUGGAAUGCGUAGAGAUCCGGAAGAACACCGGUGGCGAAGGCGGCCUGCUGGGCAGUAGCUGACACUGAGGCGCGACAGCGUGGGGAGCAAACAGGAUUAGAUACCCUGGUAGG